AAGGGAAAAUAGGUGGAAAUUCAAAAAUCAAGUGAAAAAAGGUGGUGAGUCAAUUGUUUCGGGUAAGAGACUGCACCCGAGGGCGGAAGAUAGGAGUAUUUCUACUCCUAAUACUGCUCAGGACAGUUUGUAGAUAGUCGAGUAGGAUGAGAACUAAGCUCGGAACUGCAUUAUAGAAAGGAAGUGCGAAAGCUGAUACGAGAGCCUUGCGAGGUUUCG
Non-coding RNA from Theobroma cacao (cacao), 219 nucleotides. The record is from RefSeq and is a predicted model, not a curated record. Lineage: Eukaryota; Viridiplantae; Streptophyta; Magnoliopsida; Malvales; Malvaceae.